GCGUUGGCAGUGCAAUGGUUAGUACGCGCUCCCGCAAAGAGUGAAAUAUGGGUUCGAAUCGCGUCCAACGUU
Parelaphostrongylus tenuis is the source of this 72-nucleotide non-coding RNA. The record is from the annotation of a GenBank genome assembly. NCBI's taxonomy places the organism in Eukaryota, Metazoa, Nematoda, Chromadorea, Rhabditida, Metastrongylidae.